Molecule: long non-coding RNA, 1111 nt
Organism: Urocitellus parryii (Arctic ground squirrel)
Lineage: Eukaryota; Metazoa; Chordata; Mammalia; Rodentia; Sciuridae
Source: RefSeq, a predicted model, not a curated record
GGGAGCGAGCAAGCUGCGCAGAGGUAACUCCGGAGGUGGAGAGAGUGCAGGGAUCCGACGCGCAGGAUUUGAGGUAAUCUCUCCGGCUGCUGGAAGGGACCCAGAAGAUCUAAUGAGGGCGAUCCCUCAGACAGAGAGAGGGGUCCCCGCAGACUGAGAAAAGGGCCCCACAGACCUUGCAGACUAGAGAGGGAGCCCCGCAGACCGAGGGAGGGAGCUGAGGGAGACCCACGACUGGAGGCUGCGCCUGAAAGAAAAGAUCUGAAGAUUGAGACAGGCCUCCAAAAUUUUACGGAGGAUAUUGAUGAUAGACCCUCAGAGAGAGGGAGGACGACGCGGAGAUCCCGAGGACAGAUGGAAGGGACCGGGAAGAGACUCCUGUCUGAGGGAGGCCGCCUGAGUGAAAGCUGAGCCGGAGACGGUGGUGCCGGGAUGAAGGCGAGAGCUACGGUGGGGGCGCUGGGGUUGAGGUGAAGUGAAGGAAAGGAGAGUAUUGAAAUUUGUGAAUAUCUUCUGGCUCCUGAUUUUGCCCACUCAGCAAUUUGUGGAAGAUGAUCAGAAGAAAAACACAUAGGAAUGAAAAAAAAUGGUCUUCCACAUAAAUUUAAUAGAAUUCAGUCAAGAGAAAGAUUACUCCUCUGAUUUAUGAUCAUCAUGUGUGCUGCCUCCUUUUACUACACUCUCUGCCAUCACUCCCAGAUGAUGUUCUACCUCAUCUGGGGCCACAAGGAAUGGAGCCUGCUGUCUGUGGAUUGAGAACUCUGAAACUGUAAGCCUCCAACUAAACUUUUCCUCCUUUACUGCUGUUCUGGUCCAGUCCUCUCAUCACAGUGGUGAAAAGGGCGCUCACAAUGUGAGAUUGCAUUGAACCUCAGAGAAGACUUUGGAUUUGAACUUUGAGCAAACUUGGAAUUGUUGAGACUAUGGAUGAUAUUGCCAGUUAUCAGUGACGAGUCCUGGAGUCCUGCUUCCCCACAUGUUGAAGUUUGAACAUUAGAAAAGCAUGGCGAGAUCAUCCUGUGAGCUCCUUCCCUGCACUACACUCUUCUGCCAUGAUGUCCUGCCUCAGUGUGAGCCCCAAGGAAUGGAGCCUACUGUCUUAUGAACUGAG